AAGUCGUAACAAGGUUUCCGUAGGUGAACCUGCGGAAGGAUCAUUACGAGAAUCGAGGCUGACGGUGCCUGCCGGGGCUUUGUGCGCCCGUGCUAGGUUGCGUCCGGCCCCGCUCCUUACCUUGCCUACUGCACCGUUCGUUGCUUCCUGGCGGUGGGACACCGCCGCCAGGGACCUUCUAAAAGUCUUGUAUGGAAGCAUUGAAACCCCUGAUAUACACUAAAUCGUACAACUUUCAACAAUGGAUCUCUUGGUUCUG
Molecule: unclassified non-coding RNA, 259 nt
Filed under: Poaceascoma helicoides
Lineage: Eukaryota; Fungi; Ascomycota; Dothideomycetes; Pleosporales; Lentitheciaceae
Description: partial internal transcribed spacer region
Rfam family: Eukaryotic small subunit ribosomal RNA (bases 1-46)
Source: RNAcentral